UCGGCAAGUGGCACGAACGCAUCAACCACCUGUGAUCAAUAGCAUUGUAAGGUAAAUGUUUCUGGCCACACUUCAAUUAGCAGACUCUGAUAAACUAGGCUAUGAAGGUGGAGGAUGCACUAUUUCAUACCUUGAGUCCACCAGGCUUAUCCCCGAAGCUGUUAACUUGACCUCUUCUAGAGUUCAAAUCACCAAUAACAUCGCCCAGAUGGUCUUCAGGAGUUACCACUUCAACUCUCAUUAUAGGCUCCAGAAGUCUUGGACCAGCUUUCCUCAUUCCUUCACGGAAAGCGCCUCUGGCUGCAAUUUGGAAUGCUAAGACACUUGAAUCAACAUCAUGGUACGAGCCAUCAACCAGCACUGCUCGGAAGUCCACAACUGGGUAACCGGCAAGGACACCGUUGGGUAAGCUUUCUUCCAAUCCCUUCAUAACUCCUGGUACAUAUUCUUUGGGCACUGACCCUCCCUUGAUUUCACUCUUGAAUUCGUACCCACUUCCAGCUUCCAAAGGUUCAAAGCGCACAAUAAUGUCUGCAAACUGCCCAGAUCCACCAGACUGCUUUUUGUGGACGUAUUGUACUUCUGCGACUUUGGAAAUACUUUCACGGUAGUUGACUUGUGGAGCUCCAACGUUUGCUUC
Molecule: long non-coding RNA, 640 nt
Filed under: Setaria italica (foxtail millet)
Lineage: Eukaryota; Viridiplantae; Streptophyta; Magnoliopsida; Poales; Poaceae
Description: long non-coding RNA (SITA_LNC005342)
Source: RNAcentral